RNAcentral lists this ribosomal RNA (445 nucleotides) under uncultured bacterium. RNAcentral's name for it is "partial 16S ribosomal RNA". It matches the Rfam family "Bacterial small subunit ribosomal RNA", at positions 331 to 792 of the family's 1533-position model. The record is from RNAcentral.
CCAGACUCCUACGGGAGGCAGCAGUGGGGGAUAUUGCACAAUGGGGGGAACCCUGAUGCAGCGACGCCGCGUGGGUGAAGGAGUAUUUCGGUAUGUAAAGCCCUAUCGGCAGGGAAGAAGCAAGACGGUACCUGACUAAGAAGCCCCGGCUAACUACGUGCCAGCAGCCGCGGUAAUACGUAGGGGGCGAGCGUUAUCCGGAUUCACUGGGUGUAAAGGGAGCGUAGACGGCCAAGCAAGCCAGGGGUGAAAGCCCGGGGCCCAACCCCGGGACUGCCCUUGGAACUGCUUGGCUGGAGUGCGGGAGGGGCAGGCGGAAUUCCUGGUGUAGCGGUGAAAUGCGUAGAUAUUAGGAGGAGCACCAGUGGCGAAGGUGGCUUGCUGGACAGAGACUGACGUUGAGGCUCGAAAGCGUGGGGAGCAAACAGGAUUAGAUACCCCAGUA